GGAUGCCUUGGCAUCAGGAGACGAUGAAGGGCGUGGCAAGCUGCGAUAAGCCUCGGUGAGCCGCAAGCAGGCUGUGAUCCGGGGAUUCCCGAAUGGGGCAACCCAGACGAUUAAUGCCGUCUAUUCACCGCUGAAUUCAUAGGCGGAUGAAAGGUAACGCAGGGAAGUGAAACAUCUCAGUACCUGCAGGAGUAGAAAUCAAUUGAGAUUCCCUUAGUAGUGGCGAGCGAAACGGGAAUAGCCCAAACCUUGUUUAUGUCAAGCCCGUGUGCGUUGUAGACAAGGGGUUGUAGGACUUCACUAGACGACAAUACGGUGCCGUCGACAAGUCAAAAACCAAAUUCUUAGCUGAAUGGUUUGGAAAAUCCAGCCAAAGAAGGUGAAAGCCCUGUAUGCGAAAAGAAUUUGGCUUGUUGAGUGAGGAACCUGAGUACCGCGGGGCUCGUGAAACCCUGUGGGAAUCCGGGAGGACCACCUUCCAAGGCUAAAUACUCCCUGAUGACCGAUAGUGAACCAGUACCGUGAGGGAAAGGCGAAAAGAACCCCGGUGAGGGGAGUGAAAUAGAACCUGAAACCGUAUACCUACAAGCAGCGAGAGGGCUAUGGUCCGCAAGGAUAAUGCCUGAUCGUGUGCCUUUUGCUUAAUGAGCCGGCGAGUUAUUCUGCGUAGCAAGGUUAAGUUGAAAAGACGGAGCCGUAGCGAAAGCGAGUCUGAAUAGGGCGUCUAGUUACGUAGAAUAGACCCGAAGCGAGGUGAUCUACCCAUGGCCAGGGUGAAUCCGCUGUAACAGGCGGAGAAGGCCCGAACCGGUGUAUGUUGCAAAAUGCUCGGAUGAGCUGUGGGUAGGAGUGAAAGGCUAAUCAAACCUCGUGAUAGCUGGUUCUCUCCGAAAUAGCUCUAGGGCUAGCCUCGUAUGAACCGUGGCGGAGGUAGAGUACUGGAUGGGCUAGGGGUGGUCAAACACUACCGAACCCAACCAAACUCCGAAUGCCGCUACUGGCUAUACGGGAGUCAGACUAUGGGUGCUAAGGUCCGUGGUCAAAAGGGAAACAGCCCAGACCGCCAGCUAAGGUCCCUAAUGUAGGCUAAGUGGGAAAGGUUGUGGGAACGCUCAGACAGCCAGGAGGUUGGCUUAGAAGCAGCCAUCCUUUAAAGAGUGCGUAAUAGCUCACUGGUCGAGUGGGCCUGCGCCGAAAAUGUAACGGGGCUCAAGCUUACAACCGAAGCUGCGGAUUUUUAUCGAAAGAUAGAAGUGGUAGGAGAGCAUUCUCUAGGAGUUGAAGGUUGACCGACAAGGACAGCUGGAUUCUAGAGAAGAGAUUAUGCCGGCAUAAGUAGCGAUAAACGAUGUGAGAAUCAUCGUCCCCGAAAACCUAAGGUUUCCUGGUCAAUGUUCGUCAGAUCAGGGUUAGUCGGGUCCUAAGGCGAGGCCGAAAGGCGUAGUCGAUGGAAAACAGGUUAAUAUUCCUGUACCGCCAUGGUUGCGUUAUUAACUAAGGGGGGACGCAGAGAGGUAAGCACCGCCGGGUCCCUGGAAUACCCGGUCCAAGCGGGUAGGUGGGGUCUGUAGGCAAAUCCGCAGACCUAUUAACACUGAGACGUGAUGGGGAGGCCGUAAGGCCACAAACGGGCUGAUCCUGCACUGCCGAGAAAAUCCUCGUAGUGAGUGUCUAUGGUGUCCGUACCGCAAACCGACACAGGUAGGUAGGUGGAAAACACUAAGGGGCGUGAGAGAACUCUCCCUAAGGAACUCUGCAAUUUAGCCCCGUAACUUCGGGAUAAGGGGUGCCUCGAUUAGGUAAGAAGAUUUACUUUUCAAGCCGAACGAGGUCGCAGUAAAAUGGCUCUAGCGACUGUUUACCAAAAACACAGGACUCUGCUAACUCGUAAGAGGAGGUAUAGGGUCUGAUGCCUGCCCGGUGCUGGAAGGUUAACUGGAGGUGUUAGCCGUAAGGCGAAGCUCCGAAUGGAAGCCCCAGUAAACGGCGGCCGUAACUAUAACGGUCCUAAGGUAGCGAAAUUCCUUGUCGGGUAAGUUCCGACCUGCACGAAUGGCGUAACGAAUUCCACACUGUCUCCAAUGCAGACUCAGCGAAACUGAAUUCUCCGUGAAGAUGCGGAGUACCCGCGGUUAGACGGAAAGACCCCGUGCACCUUUACUACAGCUUUGCAGUGGUAUUAG
RNAcentral lists this ribosomal RNA (2183 nucleotides) under Rhopilema esculentum. Its description in RNAcentral is "bacterial LSU rRNA". It matches the Rfam family "Bacterial large subunit ribosomal RNA", at positions 26 to 2126 of the family's 2925-position model. The record is from RNAcentral. Lineage: Eukaryota; Metazoa; Cnidaria; Scyphozoa; Rhizostomeae; Rhizostomatidae.